UGCAAUAGGAAGAGACCUAUGGCAUCAUGACUAUUGAGAUAUUUUACAUAUUUCCUUGCUUCCUGUUGAAAUGUAGCCUCUGAAUGAUUCAACCUUGGACCUUGGAAAGAAAAGCACUCCAGAAUCACCACCACUACAUCGAGCUGUGAAGUUCUGGACAAAUGGCUACACAUUUUCCCAUGGACCCAGGAAGAUGAUCCCAGGGAGACUUUCUGAGCUUCUGUGACAGAAUCACCCUAUAAGAAAGAGAGGCAAUGUCGCUGAUUGAUUGUACAAUGGAUUUCUGGAAAGUCCACCCACAGCCAAGUCUUGGCCUUGUGGUAGGGGCAACCAGAUUGUCCGCCAAAAUUGCCUGAUACUUGGUGGAAUCCAUUACACCAUUAAUAAUGCCCCUGGACCUCUGGAAUUAAAACAGCCCCAAAACACAACUGACUGUGGGUAUGACGGGCAUCUCCUGUUAUGCAUCUCUGUUUCAAUAUCUGAGACAUUUGGUCUCAUUUGGUCAUUUAAAGUAUGAUUGAAUGACUGUGCUGUGGUCAGAUGAGACCAAAUUGAAUGUUUACAGCAUCGGCAUGUUUGCCAUUGAAACAGUGAUGCAUAAUAGCAGGGAAUAUACCCUCAGGGAAAUUUUUGUGGUGGGUCCAUGACUGUGCAUUACUGUGACUUCACCUUAGUAGAAGGUGCCCUGGAACAGCUGCCACGCCAAUGCAGUAUGUCUGGCUCAAUAACAGGAUUUAGUUUCCCGUAGGCCUCUUGAAGUGAUAGGUCAUCUCUCAUUGAGAUUCAGUUUUGGUUUAUUCUUCUCCACACUUUCAACUUGAGUUUGUUUGGGUUUGACUUAAUGGAAGGUUUAUGAGCUCUUGAGCCAGACCUUGUAUCAGCUCCUACUUCCACUGACUCUGUGAUGCAUGAAGGAGAGACGGCCUUGUCAAGUAUACAGUGAUAUAAUCGUAAUGCCUUACCUGUCAAAGGCAGGAUGCUUUGAUUUAAAAUUACUUUAAUCUUUCGUUGGGCAGACAGCGUUUGCCCACCCUCGCUCUACCUUAUAAGCCUUUUAUGUUCAGUGAAGCAUUCUAAGAAAAAAAAGGCUAAAACGGAUUUUAAAGUGGAUCCUGUAUUUGUUUUAUGGCAGUUCAGGUUUGGUUCCAGCCGGGGACUGCAGGUGUACGAUGACACACAGACAAACCUGUCCGUUCAGCUCCAUUGAACGGGGCUGCUGUAAAUUGAGCGGCGCUGUGACAAUGGCUCAGGCGGUAAGAGCAGUCGUCUGGUAGUCAGAGGUUCGAUCCCGCCCUGGGUGUGUCAAAGGGUCCCUGAGCAAGACACGUAACCCCCAAAUGCUCCUGACGAGCUGGUCGGCGCCUUGCAUGGCAGCCAAUCGCUGUUGGUGUGUGAGUAUGUGUAUGAAUGGGUGAAUGAGAAGCAGCACCUGUACAGCUCUUUGGAUAAAGGUGCUAUAUAAAUGCAAACCGUUUACAAUUUUACCAAAUCAUGCAUAAUGUCUUGUGAGCUUGCUGGCCUCUGUGGUCACUUGUGAGGCACACUGGAACUGCUACCGGACCGUCCCGAAUACAUCUAAGCUUUAAUUAUCCCUUGCCGCUGAGCAUAUAUGUACUACACACUAUAGACAUUUCUCCUCAGUUGUGGGUUUUGGGUAGCAUGCAAUGUUUGAUGCCUUGUUCCAUUUUCUGUGGUUCUCAAUCUGAGAAUUACUCACUGUAAAGAACCAAUCACUGAAAAUGUGAUUGCAAACUGAUCCAGAAAAUGCAUACGCACAAACGCAUAAAGCAUGGACAUGCAGAUACUCAUAGUUUUUAUGGUGUACGAAGAGACCAAGCCACUAUGCUUUCGUGCCAUAUAACAGAACAUAUGCAAAUCUAUGCAUUAAUUUUUAAACCAUUUACCAUACUUGUUUUCUGUUAAGUGAUAUUUACCAGUAUGUGCCAUUGCAGCCUGUCAUCGUUUAUCCAGAAUACCCAUCUCCAUAGUGACGAGUAAUUUUCUGCUCAGUGACAGGCUAUUUCUUCUUUUCUGUGGGUUGAAACAGCUCUAGUUGUGAAACACAACUUCACAACAGUACCAUUGCAUAGUCACCUAUUGCAAGUCUCUUCGUUAUUGAUAACAGGAAGAUGUCACCACAGGCGUGUUGCCACAAAAUGCACAUAUACUUUAUUUCCCAUUUACAAUUUCACAAAUUAAUUUACAUGACAAAUAUAAAUGACUGUAUCGGUGAACAUCUAAGUAAAUACCUAAACAUAAGGAUUUAUGUUCAGUUCAGACCUCUGCACAAUACUGUAGUUCAGAUGGUUCAGUGAGACCACUGAGCCAUUACAUGCAAAUAAUGCGAAAAGGGAAGACAGUGUCACUCUGAAAGCACAGUGGUUUCAGAAAGGCAGAGGGUUAGAAUGGCAGUUGGAUCUGCAUUUGAAAUCCCCUGACUUGAUGUCAAAUGAGACUGGCAAAAGAAAGGUCAAUCCAAGAAAUGUCAACAAUGAACAAUAAAAUAAUCCAUCCAUCCAUC
Conger conger (European conger) is the source of this 2521-nucleotide long non-coding RNA. RefSeq lists it as uncharacterized. The record is from RefSeq and is a predicted model, not a curated record. Lineage: Eukaryota; Metazoa; Chordata; Actinopteri; Anguilliformes; Congridae. The transcript is spliced from 2 exons.